CAUAUAAGAGCUAUGUCAUAUAAUGGGGGAGCACUAGCUCCAGCUGGUACUAAUGUUCCCUGAGCUUCACUGGGAAAUCUCUCCCAGUAUUUCUGUGUCCAGUAUGGUGAACAGAUACCAAGAGAAGAUCUGACCUCUUGCAGUUUAUUUCCUCCUCUGAAAGAUUUUCCAGGUGGCCGAGCGCAAAGCAAAUAUUUAUAGAUCAAAAUAUUUCUCUUCUCCAUGGGAGGGAAACAGUAAAAGUGCAGAUAUUAAUUUGGUUUUGCAGAGAACUGGAAAUAAUGACAAACUGGUCAUUAAAACUAAGCCUCUUUUUUUUUCUUUCUUUCUUUGCAGAUGCAAAUAAACUUUCUAAGGACAAAUCUGAACCCAUACGUUUCUUUCUCAUAAGAUGGUUAGCAGUGAGACCAGAUGUUUUUGAACACGCCUGUGAAGAAUCACCAUUUGCCUGUGAAUUCUGCACACACAACAACUUAUUCAGCCAUCUCAGCGGAAUUUCCUAGAAAAGUAGCCUGUAAAACAGAUGAACUUAUAUAUAUUCUCAGGUGUGAUGUCUUCUUUGGCAGGAGGAGCAGGCUCUUCUCAACAAUAAGGUAAGAUACUGAUGGAACUAAAGACUGUCAAUUUUUUAUUCUGGUUCUUGUUACAGUAGUAAAUUUUUUCACAGCAUUUUCUUAAGAACCGUGUUAAAAUGAAGAGGAACAUAUUUUUAUUUAGAUAAAUAUGUGUAAUCUUAAUUGUGUUUAAUUUACCCAUUUGAUUUACUGCAUAUUCUUACGUAUAAACGACAUAAAAAGAGAAGCACACAAGGAGAGCAGAAUAUGGGAGCAUGUGGUUGGCAUUUGGAUGGGAAAUGUCUGAGUUUACUUCAGUGUAAGUAACUUCAAACAUUAAAAUUGGGUUAUUCUUCAUGCUAUGGGGAAAAAGUGACAAACAUAGAGACAAGUCUUCUGCAGAGUUUUAUUCAGUCAGAGACAGUCUGCAGACAGUAUCACCCCAAAUUAAAUGCACCAUCUCUGUGCUUUAAGCUUGGAGAUCAAAGCUGGAUAAAAAGCAACACAGGCAACAAUGUCUAGAAUUAGAUUUUUUUUUCACACUUUACUUUACAAGACUGUUCUGUUGUCUUGUAACUGCAAAAUUUUAACACUCCAGGCUUAAUUCUCCUUGCUAAGGUUGUGCCACAGCUUAGCAUCCAAAAGGAAAGUAUCCCCAUGCUUAAAAUAAAAAAUGUUUGUUGUUGUUGUUAUUGUUGUUA
Molecule: long non-coding RNA, 1255 nt
Filed under: Anas platyrhynchos platyrhynchos (common mallard)
Lineage: Eukaryota; Metazoa; Chordata; Aves; Anseriformes; Anatidae
Description: lncRNA (ENSAPLG00000029762.1)
Source: RNAcentral